Molecule: ribosomal RNA, 833 nt
Filed under: uncultured bacterium
Lineage: Bacteria
Description: bacterial SSU rRNA
Rfam family: Bacterial small subunit ribosomal RNA
Source: RNAcentral
GCGUGCCUAACACAUGCAAGUCGAACGAGAAAGCUCCUUCGGGAGUGAGUAGAGUGGCGCACGGGUGAGUAACACGUGGAUAAUCUGCCUGAUAAUCUGGGAUAACAUUCCGAAAGGGAUGCUAAUACCGGAUAAGCCCACAGCCUCUUCGGAGGCAGCGGGAAAAGAUGGCCUCUUCUUGAAAGCUAUUGUUAUCAGAUGAGUCCGCGGUCCAUUAGCUAGUUGGUAGGGUAAUGGCCUACCAAGGCGACGAUGGAUAGCUGGUUUGAGAGAAUGAUCAGCCACACUGGAACUGAGACACGGUCCAGACUCCUACGGGAGGCAGCAGUGGGGAAUUUUGCGCAAUGGGGGAAACCCUGACGCAGCAACGCCGCGUGAGUGAUGAAGGUUUUCGGAUCGUAAAGCUCUGUCAAGAGGGAAGAAACCUCCGACGGCUAAUACCUGUUGGAAUUGACGGUACCUCUAGAGGAAGCACCGGCUAACUCCGUGCCAGCAGCCGCGGUAAUACGGAGGGUGCAAGCGUUGUUCGGAAUUAUUGGGCGUAAAGCGCGUGUAGGCGGUUAGUUAAGUCUGAUGUGAAAGCCCCGGGCUCAACCUGGGAAGCGCAUUGGAAACUGGCAAACUUGAGUACGGGAGAGGGAAGUGGAAUUUCGAGUGUAGGGGGUGAAAUCCGUAGAUAUUCGAAGGAACACCAGUGGCGAAGGCGGCUUCCUGGACCGAUACUGACGCUGAGACGCGAAAGCGUGGGGAGCAAACAGGAUUAGAUACCCUGGUAGUCCACGCCGUAAACGAUGGGUACUAGGUGUUGCGGGUAUUGACCCCUGCAGUGCCGA